CAAGACAAAUCUUUAUAGUAAAGUAUAUCAUUUACACUGAUUUUUUAUUCUGUGCAAUUCAGGAUGUUUUGA
Molecule: transfer RNA, 72 nt
Filed under: Bryodemella holdereri holdereri
Lineage: Eukaryota; Metazoa; Arthropoda; Insecta; Orthoptera; Acrididae
Also listed under: 3 other names
Description: tRNA-Val
Source: RNAcentral